GUCUUUUUGAAUAUAAUUUAAAGUCUAACCUGCCCAAUGAAAUUUUAAUGGCCGCAGUAUUUUGACUGUGCAAAGGUAGCAUAAUCAUUAGUUUUUUAAUUGAAAGCUAGAAUGAAUGGUUGAACGAGAAAAAUUCUGUCUCAAUUUAAUUUAAUUAGAAUUUUAUUUUUAAGUUAAAAAGCUUAAAUUUAAUUAAAAGACGAGAAGACCCUAUAGAGUUUUAUAAUAUAAAAAUUUAUUAUUUAGAAUAAUUAUAAUUUUUUUUUAUUAUUUUAUUGGGGUGAUAAAUAAAUUUAAUUAACUUUAUUAAUAUUUAAACAUUAAUAAAUGAUAAUUUGAUCCAUAAAAAUGAUUAAAAGAUUAAAUUACCUUAGGGAUAACAGCGUAAUUUUUUUAGAGAGUUCAAAUCGAUAAAAAAGAUUGCGACCUCGAUGUUGGAUUAAAAUUAAUUUUUGGUGUAGAAGCUAAAAAAAUUAAGUCUGUUCGACUUUUAAAAUUUUACAUGAUCUGAGUUUAAACCGGUGUAAACCAGGUUGGUUUCUAUCUUUAAUAAAAAUUAAAUAUUUUAGUACGAAAGGACCAAAUAUUUAUUAAAUUAAUUUUAUAUUUGAAUAU
Molecule: ribosomal RNA, 615 nt
Filed under: Aulacochthebius narentinus
Lineage: Eukaryota; Metazoa; Arthropoda; Insecta; Coleoptera; Hydraenidae
Description: partial 16S ribosomal RNA
Rfam family: Bacterial large subunit ribosomal RNA (bases 376-535)
Source: RNAcentral